This 1873-nucleotide long non-coding RNA is filed under the name Monodelphis domestica (gray short-tailed opossum). Its description in RNAcentral is "lncRNA (ENSMODG00000044480.1)". Lineage: Eukaryota; Metazoa; Chordata; Mammalia; Didelphimorphia; Didelphidae. The record is from RNAcentral.
AAAUAUAUUUAAAUUUAAAAAUAUAAAUAAAUCACAUUAAAGAAAUUUAAAUUUAAUUUCCAAAGCAAUCAAUAUUAUUUAAAAUAAGUAAAUUACAUUAAAGAAAUUUAAAUUUAAGCAUAUAAAUAAAUCACAUUAAAGAAAUUUAAAUUUAAUUUCCAAAGCAAUCAAUAUUAUUUAAAAUAAGUAAAUUACAUUAAAGAAAUUUAAAUUAAAAAAUAUAAAUAAAUCACAUUAAGGAAAUGUAAAUUUCAUUUCAAAAAUAAUCAAUAUUAUUUAAAAUAAAUUACAUUAAAGAAAUUUAAAUUUAAAAAUAAAUAAAUCACAUUAAGGAAAUUUAAAUUUAAUUUCAAAAAUAAUCAAUAUUAUUUAAAAUAAAUUACAUUAAAGAAAUUUAAAUUUAAAAAUAUAAAUAAAUCACAUUAAGGAAAUUUAAAUUAAAUUUUAAAAUAAAUAAUAAAUAUCACUUGAAUGAAUAAAUUAAAGAAACUCACAUUAAAUUUAAAAAAUAAAUUAAAAAUAAAUAAAUUUUCCUUAAAUAAUAAAUAAAAUAAAUAAAUGAUAAAACUCCAGGACAAGUCAGGAGGUGCUGGAAUUAGAAAUCCCCCAAAAGCAGGUGGAGAAAGGGCCAAGCAGUCAUCGCCAGAUAAGGCACUGAAUUCACUGAGAUUUGUGUUUCCUUCCUGUCCUUUGAAUCUAAAUGAGAAACAUACUGAGAGUCAUAAAAACUCCCCGUCCUUCCUUUUCAGUUGCAAUGGAACUCAUUGCCGAAGAGGAGGCAUUCGAGGCCUGUCCCAAACGGAACAUGGCACCAGAGAGGCGUCAUUUUGGUGACUGGACUGGAGGGGAUCCAUCGAUGGCAAAGAAAAAGAGAGCGAUGACUGCAACGGCGAGCGGGACCGGGGGCUGGCCAGGAAAGACUUUCUCCCUGAUGAAGCUAUUGUGGACCUUCCUAAAGUCAUGCAUUGGCCUGGAGAUUAAAAGCUGGAAGAGCCCUUGGAAGCUAUUGAAUCUGUCUCUCGUUUUACAGACAUGGAAACUGAGGCACAAUAAUAAACCGAAUGAUGGGCUCUGGAAGCUUCCUUGACUUUCAGUCCCAGUGGGCUAGCUUUUGUCCCUUUGGCAAAUGCUGCCAACUUUGCAUCCUGCAACCUCAAGAGAGUCUGACCCCUCCUGACCUACUGGUGGAUGAGCAUAAAUUGAAAAAAUGUGGGUUCUCAGAGGGGUCCAGGGACCCAGAGACCCAAGGAUCCCCAGUGAAAAUGGGAGAGAACUUAGUAAACUCCAAGAAAAGAUGUUGUGAUGAAUAGAAAAUAAUUUGGAUGCUCUGAGCUAUUUGCACAAAAGACUUCUGAUUGCUCUUUUAUCUUACUAACGCAUGGGCAGUUGAGAGUGGAUCAUAUAUUCUAUGUGAGGUUAGGGAGUUAUGUGGCACAGCAUUAAACCCAGAGUCAAGAAGACCCACAGUUUGAAUCCAAUCAGAGACACUUACUAGCUGUAUGACCCUGGACAAGUCACUUAAUCCCUAUUUGCCUCAAUUUUUGUCAUCUGUCAAAAGAGCUGGAGAAGGAAAUAGCAAGUCACUCCAGUUCUCUGCUAAGAAAACUCCCGAGUAAGAUAUGACUGAAAUGACUGAACAAGAACAACAAAGAAAAUGGAGAUAAUAAUAAUACCUACCUCCCAAAGUUGUUGUAAGGAUCAAUCAAGAUCAAUCAGUAAAGUACCUGGCACAUAGUGGGUUCUAUAGAAAUGUGAGCCAUACGUAUCUGCCCAUAUGUUUUUUAAUCUCUUGAAACAUUUUUUCAGGGUCUGGAUCAAUUAUUUUAUUAUUGUGAUGGAGAGUGUCCAGUAAAUAAAUGAGCACUGCCUCACA